This is a non-coding RNA of Pisolithus marmoratus, 83 nucleotides long. The record is from the annotation of a GenBank genome assembly. NCBI's taxonomy places the organism in Eukaryota, Fungi, Basidiomycota, Agaricomycetes, Boletales, Pisolithaceae.
GGGCACUUGGCACAGUUGGUAGCGCGCACGCUUCGCAUCAGCUUGAUUGCGUGAGGUCGUGGGUUCAAUUCCCACAGUGUCCA